UACGUAGGGUGCGAGCGUUGUCCGGAUUUAUUGGGCGUAAAGAGCUCGUAGGCGGUUCGUCACGUCGGCUGUGAAAACCUGAGGCUCAACCUCAGGCCUGCAGUCGAUACGGGCGGACUUGAGUACUGCAGGGGAGACUGGAAUUCCUGGUGUAGCGGUGAAAUGCGCAGAUAUCAGGAGGAACACCGGUGGCGAAGGCGGGUCUCUGGGCAGUAACUGACGCUGAGGAGCGAAAGCGUGGGGAGCGAACAGG
RNAcentral lists this ribosomal RNA (253 nucleotides) under uncultured bacterium. Its description in RNAcentral is "partial 16S ribosomal RNA". It matches the Rfam family "Bacterial small subunit ribosomal RNA", at positions 524 to 776 of the family's 1533-position model. The record is from RNAcentral.